GACGAACGCUGGCGGCGUGCUUAACACAUGCAAGUCGAACGGUGAAGGGACUGGUUUUGCUGGUCCUGGAUGAGUGGCGAACGGGUGAGUAACACGUGAGUAACCUGCCCCCUUCUUCUGGAUAACCGCAUGAAAGUGUGGCUAAUACGGGAUAUUCUGGGUCUGUCGCAUGGUGGGCCUGGGAAAGAUUGCGCCUUUUUUGGUGUUUUUGGUGGGGGAUGGGCUCGCGGCCUAUCAGCUUGUUGGUGGGGUGAUGGCCUACCAAGGCGGUGACGGGUAGCCGGGCUGAGAGGGUGGACGGGCACACUGGGACUGAGACACGGCCCAGACGCCUACGGGAGGCAGCAGUGGGGAAUAUUGCACAAUGGGCGCAAGCCUGAUGCAGCGACGCCGCGUGAGGGAUGGAGGCCUUCGGGUUGUGAACCUCUUUCGCCAGUGAAGCAGGCCUGCCUCUUUUUGUGGGUGGGUUGACGGUAGCUGGAUAAGAAGCGCCGGCUAACUACGUG
Molecule: ribosomal RNA, 506 nt
Filed under: uncultured bacterium
Lineage: Bacteria
Description: partial 16S ribosomal RNA
Rfam family: Bacterial small subunit ribosomal RNA
Source: RNAcentral